Argentina anserina (silverweed cinquefoil) is the source of this 629-nucleotide long non-coding RNA. RefSeq lists it as uncharacterized. The transcript is spliced from 4 exons. NCBI's taxonomy places the organism in Eukaryota, Viridiplantae, Streptophyta, Magnoliopsida, Rosales, Rosaceae. The record is from RefSeq and is a predicted model, not a curated record.
UGCAAUCCCACCAUUAAAUUCUCCUCUUUCUUCUCUACAAAACCAUACCAACAAAUCACAACCUUGUUCUCAAUUUCUCAAAAAAUCGGAAAAAGAAAGCAGGUCAUCAUCUCCUAUGAUUCUGACGAUUCCUUCAACUUCGAUCGGUCUCCUAAUCCUCUCUCUUGUAAGCUUAAUCGAUUUCUUGAAUACCCAACUCAGUUUCUUUCGUAAGGUUCUCAAAUUUUGGGACUAACUUAGGCUUUCUUUCCAUGUUCUUAAUUGCCGCCGUGCUCCACCUUCGAGCUUCCUCCCAUUGGCCAUUCCAAAAGCAUCGGCGAGUCCGUACACAUUUAUUUGUGAAGCGUUUGGGACAGUAGCAACAAGUAUGGGCAAGGCAUCAGCUCCAAAUCGAGGCGAAGAGAGUCAUUGCCUUCACCUCUGCAUUUUAGUCAUCAGAGAAUUACCAUGGUGUGGCGAGGCACAUUCUAUAAUUGCCGAGACGUGGUAUUGGAGUGGUUAUCCGGGAUAAAAAAGGACUCCAUGUGCACGGCUUCUCCUUGUUCAACUCUACCUCCCAAGCCGUGAGUAACUCUCCAUGUAGGCACGGCUCUCCUUGUUUUCCUCUAGUAUUAUUUCUUAAAUCCAAU